AACGAACGCUGGCGGCGUGGAUAAGACAUGCAAGUCGAACGGGAUCUAGCUUGUAGCAAUACUCGUUAGGUCCAGUGGCGAACGGGUGCGUAACACGUGGGCAAUCUACUUUGAAGUGGGGGAUAGCUCACCGAAAGGUGAAUUAAUACCGCAUACCGCACGAAGGCGCAUGCCUUCGUUGCGAAAGUUGGGGAAACCUAACGCUUUCAAAAUGAGCCCGCGGCCUAUCAGCUAGUUGGUGGAGUAAUAGCCCACCAAGGCUAUGACGGGUCGCUGGUCUGAGAGGACGACCAGCCACACUGGAACUGAGACACGGUCCAGACACCUACGGGUGGCAGCAGUCGAGAAUCUUUCUCAAUGGGCGAAAGCCUGAAGGAGCGACGCCGCGUGGAGGAUGAAGGCCUUCGGGUUGUAAACUCCUGUCAUCAGGAAACAAUUGCAGGCGACUAACUACCGCCUGCUUGAUAGUCCCUGAAGAGGAAGAGACGGCUAACUCUGUGCCAGCCGCCGCCGUAACAC
This 519-nucleotide ribosomal RNA is filed under the name uncultured bacterium. Its description in RNAcentral is "bacterial SSU rRNA". It matches the Rfam family "Bacterial small subunit ribosomal RNA", at positions 29 to 526 of the family's 1533-position model. The record is from RNAcentral.